GCUGGGGAGGCAAGAAAGCAGGAUGCUGCGGGGAGAUGGGGCAGUUGUCGACUUCUCUCAGCAUUUUAUUUUAAAGGAUUUUAUAACUUUGAAAACGGUUGUAUGGAAGGUUUAGCAAGAGUCCUGUUGGGACGGUUUAGUGAAAAUCCUGCACCCUCGGAGUAUGAUCACCCUGGCUGCCUUCAGAAAGAAUCCUAUUAGUGUGGAGAGGAAGAACAAUGUAGAGCUGUGUGGAUAGUAGAAGUACAGUGCUGGGGCCAUCAGGAUCAACGUUAGCUGGGCAUUUGUGUGCAAUGUAAAAUCUCAGGCUCCACCUCACACCUCCAGAUUCAUAAUCUGCAUUUUAACAAGAUUCUCUGGUCAUUUAUAUGCACACUGAAUUGAAGAAACAGUCACCAAUGUAAUGUAAAAGAGUCGAUAUGACAGUAUUACAAUAAAAUUGA
Molecule: long non-coding RNA, 443 nt
Organism: Zalophus californianus (California sea lion)
Lineage: Eukaryota; Metazoa; Chordata; Mammalia; Carnivora; Otariidae
Exons: 3
Source: RefSeq, a predicted model, not a curated record